RNAcentral lists this ribosomal RNA (515 nucleotides) under Nepa hoffmanni. RNAcentral's name for it is "bacterial SSU rRNA". It matches the Rfam family "Eukaryotic small subunit ribosomal RNA", at positions 32 to 531 of the family's 1831-position model. Lineage: Eukaryota; Metazoa; Arthropoda; Insecta; Hemiptera; Nepidae. The record is from RNAcentral.
UUGUCUCAAAGCUUAAGCCAUGCAAGUCUCAGUACAAAUCGAAUUAAAGUGAAACCGCAAACGGCUCAUUAAAUCAGUUUUAGUUUACUUGAGGGUAAACUAAAUAGUUGUGGAUAACUGUGGCAAUUCUAGAGCUAAUACAUGCAAUCAAGUUCCGACCAGUGAUGGAAAGAACGCUUUUAUUAGAUCAAAAUCAAUCGGUCGGCUUGUCCGGUCCGUUUGACUUGAUGACUCUGAAUAACCACGCAGAUCGCACGGUCCUAGUACCGGCGACGCUCCUUUCAAAUGCCUGACUUAUCAACUGUCGAUGGUAGACUUUACGUCUACCAUGGUUGUAACGGGUGACGGGGAAUCAGGGUUCGAUUCCGGAGAGGGAGCCUGAGAAACAGCUACCACAUCCAAGGAAGGCAGCAGGCACGCAAAUUACCCACUCCCGGCACGGGGAGGUAGUGACAAAAAAUAACGAUACGGGACUCAUCCGAGGCCCCGUAAUCGGAAUGAGAACUCUCUAAAUC